Long non-coding RNA from Triticum aestivum (bread wheat), 6826 nucleotides. RefSeq lists it as uncharacterized. The record is from RefSeq and is a predicted model, not a curated record. NCBI's taxonomy places the organism in Eukaryota, Viridiplantae, Streptophyta, Magnoliopsida, Poales, Poaceae. The transcript has 5 exons.
CUCCGCCGCCAACCAGCCCUUCGCACGCCCGAUCCACACCUUCGCCCCCGUCGCGGCCGAUCCAUCCCUGUGCCGCGGCCGAUCCUAACCUUCGCCGCAGCCCUCGUACAUCAAAGCCGCCACCCGUCCAUCAUACGAUCUGCUUCAGGAUCGCUGCAGGAGACGGCGCCAUGAUCCCGUUUAGCAGACGCCGGCGAUCCUGUAUAUCACCAUGCGAUCGAAUUCCUCCCUCAGCUCCUUUUGUCUACACUCUGUCAGGCUGCAACAGCCUAGGUUUCUAUUUUCUAUCUGGGCUCCACUGGCAGUAGUAGGAUGCUCAUUGGCAACCCAAGGUGUGUAUGCCCCUACUUCCCCAAGAUGUGUGCUGUUGUGAAGCAUGUAGCACCACUUCUCCUGACUACUAUAAUCAGUGGAAGAUCUCAUGACAUGAUAGGCGUCAUGGUCUCAUGGAAUGGACAUCAUGGGGCUUAUUAGGAACUCUGAGUUCAGCGGGCACCAUGCCGAAAGGUGAAGCAACUUUUGGUAUUUUGUUAUGGCACGAUUUGUUCUUCUGUUUCCUAAACUUGAUCGCUCACUUGCUUUCUUUCACAUGGUAAAGAGGUCAAUCUCUUCCAAUACACAAUCGUUGAGGUGUGUAUCAAUGUCUAAAGGUUAAAAAAGACCCAGGUUACACCAUAUGGUUUAGGUUGCUCACCUUGGUGGCUGACUAGGCGUUCAAAAAUCUUAGUGAGAGUAUAAAGGACAUUGUUGAUGGUGCAAUAAUGGAACACAACAAGUUGUGUGUGUGUGUCGCACGACCUGGGAGUCUACAUCUAAGAGUUCCUUUCAGUUUUCUAUCAGAAACAUUUCUUUAUAAAAGUUCUGUUGGACACUUAUCUUCUCUUUACUUAUCGUUUCGUGGGACUAUGAAAAAGUUCAUCUGUGUGUAACUACAGGGUUCUCGAAGUCCGCCCUCUCAUUGACAGGGUGAAAGUUGUGGAAUUCUUGCUUUAACUGCCUGGAGUAAGAUGAUAGGACAUACAAAGAUGCAUUCAAGGUAAGCUCCAGUGAAAUUAGGUGUUCAUAAGACAAUUCUUUCAAGUUGCGACCUACAUUGUGGUGUCUCCAUUCAUCAAGUUCUGAGCACCAGCUCUAGUGAAAUUAGGUGUUCAUCCAGCCAUACUCCUAGGUAGAUUUCUUUGGUGUGCUUAUUAUUGUGUAGUUAGUGGUUAUGCACAUGCCUCAUCAUCUGAUAUUUCUGCAGUAGUUACUGAAAGCAAUCUGAGGACAAAGCUUUGAUUGUUGUUGUAGUUGAAGAUUGAGAGUUGCAAUGCAGGCACAGUUAACAGGCAUAAGAAACUAUAGAAGAUUUAUCAAACCAGAUAUGGGCUUGGUUAUGCACUGAAUCAUUAUGGAGGAUCUCAGGUAAUUAGGCCAUACACCCAAAAUUAAAUUUUACUUGCUUUUAGAUGUUUAGGGGGAAGAUGAUGUUUCAUAUGCUAGACUUAAGUACGCACCUUUUAAGAGUAUCACUGAUACUCCAGUCACCCAUAAAAAUGGAAGUACUAAAAAUUAGUUUGUAAGGAAAAUAACUAAAUAGUGAGUCUGAGCAAACCUACUACCUAGAUUACAUGAGAUCAUUUUAGCUCUAAGAGUUUCUUUUAUCUUUUUUUACAUUCUGGUAAACAUGUGGGUGAAUAACUGUUAGAAAUUGUUCUGUAUGUACACGUGCAUUCUACUAGAACUGAUGCUUGAAAGAAUAAAAAGUUCUAUAAUAUUUGUAAGCCAAGCAGUGGAAAAGCUCACUCCUCACAGUAGAUAACUAGAAUCUAUGUAUCUCCUUUGUUGAAACAGAGUCCACAGGUUUACUCAUGUCAUCUGUUUUUUGUUGUUUGAGGGAAGGAUUGUUAGGAGCCCAUCUCUUUUGCAGCAAGCCCUGCAGAAAGAGAGCUAGAUAUAAUGGUACUUGCUAUCCUUUUAAUGGACACUUCCUUUUGGCCUUUUUUAGUUUCUCUAAUUAGGUAAGAGACUUCAAUGAGUGAGAAUUUUUUGUUCCCUCCCUUUUUCAUUGUCUUUUGAGUUUUGCUUUGUGGUGAGAAGAGGAUAGAGAUACCCAAUAGCCGUGGGGAUCAGAGAUUAGGUGAGGUCACAUUGUUUGUCUCGGCUUUACAAUGUGAGGUAAAGGAAGAAAAUAAAGUAAUGUUAGAAUAUUACAAUCAUAUAUCUAGACAUAUCUCUACUCCUAAUGGAGCAGCUGGAAAAUAAAAGCCAAGAGAAGUAUGAAUCCGAACAUGAUCCCCUCUGUCCUCCUCCCACGACGCGCGUCAGGGGAGAAACCCUAGCGCCGCCGCUGCCGGGACCCCCUCCUCCUCCCCUUCUCCCCUUCCCUGCCGCCGCCUGCGAGCAAGGCCGGGCGAAGCCCGGUCGGCUCCAGCGAUGUGUGUGUGGAGGGGGUCUUCCCUUCACCGUGUGGCCGCGUGUGGCGCAGGAUGGCAUGGCCGGCGAAGGCGCGUGCGAGCAGGGGGCACGGCAGCGUGGCAUCUGAGUGUGGGGCGGCGACGCCUGGUCAGGUGCUCGUGCGGGUGGCUCUACGGCGAGGGGUGGCUGCGAUGUUGCCAACGGCUGCGUUUGUGCGCGCCCAGAUCUGGCAGCGGCUGUGCCCGUGGGUUGCGCUAGCUUAGCUGUUUCCUAUGUGGCUCGGCACGCGCGGGAGCUCGGCAGGCGGCGGCUUGGGUCGCCGUUACACCUCGCCGUCCGGCUGUGUGGUCACUGGUGGUGGAUAGCGGCCGCUGGUGAGAUUCAUCUUGUCCAGCCACGGUGCAGGUCUGAGUGCGGCUCCAAUCCAGCCCCUGUUGAGCUUGCACAUGUCGCGACAUAGGGCUGGACUUUUCCCAAUGAUGGCCAUAGUUGAGGGAUGGAUCCGACGCCGGGAGGGCCACGGAACCAUCCUUGCCUCCUAUUAGGUGGCACACCGGGGAGCUCGUCCUUGCACGGCCUGGCAGGACGGGGCGGUGGCGACCGAGUGCGGCCGGCCCGGGGGUGGGCUCGGACCUGGGGACCGUCGAAGGGCAGGGAAGAAGGUGCCUUCCCGCUCGUCUCUUUGCCUGUCAUGGCUGCAAGCUUCGGUAGGGGAUGGUGUCGGGACCAUGGGUGUUGGGGCGGCGGCCCUGGAGGUGGGAGGCGUGGGCUCAUGGGCGAAGCUCACGGCUCGGGUGUGAGCUAGCUGUCGUGACCAUGCGGGGGGUGUGGUGCUCAGGGUGCGACAACCGGAGGGGUAGGUCUGGCGGGCCUAGUUUGUUGUGCCUCGCCUCAGGGGCUGUGAGGACUUCCCGGGUUGAAAACCUGCUUUGGCUCUGCCAAGCCGCAGACGACAUCACCUAUGGGUGGCGCCUCCUUCUUGAAGGCUUCGUCGCGGCUCCUCUACAUGCUCCGAUUGCUCCGAAGGAAACCUUGAUCUUGGGAUCGGGCGGUGGCGAUACUCCUGUGUCGUGCCCUUCUUGAAGGCACCGCCUUGGAGUGUUCGGCUUGUCGUGCACAACUCUCUCUCUCUCUCUCUCUCUCUCUCUCUCUCUCUUCACAGUGACUCGCUCACGGUUGAGGUCUCCGGAGACUACAAGUGGUGCUAUCCCUGCCUACAUGUAGUUGCUUGGAGUGGAGGGGGUGAUCUAGCAGUUCAUAUACACCCUUGUAUCUUGCCUUGUGUGUGUUGUGGGGUGAGUUGUAUGUGUUGGUUUGUAUGGUGAUUGUUGCUUUAUAUAUAAAGCGGGGCACGCGCCUUUUUCGGUAAUGGAGCAUUUGGUUGUCUCCGUUUCGGGUUUUCUUUCAUCCCACCUCCCACCUUUGUCUGGUUUUUUGUGGUUACUAUGUAAUACAAGUGGAUUUUCUUCACACAUAAGCCAUGAAAUAUUUAAGCCUGAGAUGAUCACCUUCUCGGGAUGCUACUUUGGGGGUGGCAAAUUGAGUUAAUUGAACUAGGUGAAAUAUGCAAGAGCUAGAAAACACUAAUGUAAGAGAUCAAUACUCAUUCGGGUUUUGACAAUUACACUGUUACAGUUAAAUUUGCUAGCAAGAAAGUUACACUGAUAGAGAACGGCGGCAUUGUAAAUACCAUCUUAACAACUGAAGAAGCAGGCUUCAUGAUCUGGGCAUUGGGGUCAGGACGCCCAUAUCUUGCGUCGGAAGAUGUAUAUGGAGCAUUAGAGACAUUAGCGCCUGUGUUAGACAUUAGCUCCGAGGCGAUUGUUUAGUUCUAAGACAUUAGUCAUACAUAAUGUUACAUUCAGAUAAAUAUUUUACUUUUCCCAGGGAUAGAAUUAUGAAACCUUUAGUCUUGGGAUCAAAGUAGAUAUUGCCUUAAUAUCUAAGCCAUUUACGGACAUGACCGUGAAUAUGUUCAGUGUAACAUGUAUAGCAUAAUAAAGUUGGAGAAGAUUAAGGAAUGGGGCAUUUUAGUUAAUCAUGCGGGCCUAGGGUUUUCUAAAAGAGAGCAAUGUCAGAGAAUCCAUCAGUUAAAGUUUGUCUUCGAUCCAAACACGUAGUCAGAUUUUCAUGCCAUGGGCUCGGUAAAUCGAGAAUGAUAGACGCCUUCGACUUUCCAGCCAUGGACUCACUAGAUCAAUAGAGAGAGGAAGAGAGCAGUCAGGGGGUGGCGGCAGCUCAGGAGCACGAGCGCGGUGGUGGCCAUGGAGAAUGAGCGAGCAUGGAACGGGGACCAGAGGCAGGAUGCGAGAGCUAUAGCGUCAUCUGUGGUGCGACACCAUGCGGCAAUCGUCCGAGGUGUUGUGGAGGCGGAGCGAGGCCGUUCGGAGUGAAGAUGAGCAGCGUAGGAUGGCAAGUUGGGUGGCUGCGACUGUGGGGUGCUGCAGAUGGAGGCGUUGGGACGGGCUAGCGACAGGAAGGGGAUGGGGUCGAGAGCGGCUGCGGUGCAUGCAUGCGUCCCCACCAUUGUUUUGUGACCAGGCCCACGUAAAAUUUAGCCAGCAAAAUGAUCCAUGGUGUAAGGUGCCUGAAUCCAUCUAUCUGUGGUUAAUUUUAUUUAUGAACAUGUUCGUGUCUUCUUGAAUUGUAGCCUUUUUGGCUGAGGCCAUGCAUGGAGAAGCUGGUCUCCAGAUGCAUCUGUCAGCCAUGGGUUACAAACUGAAUUAACAACAAGUAUGGUGAUAGCGAGUGUUGUCGUUAUCUCCAAAGAAUAACAACUAUGCAAUAUAGUGCUGAACUUUGACAUUUUGCGUUUUGGUUAUAAGUUCCUUUUAAUAUUUGGUGAUUUACUAAUUAAUCUUUCUUUACCAGCUUGUGUUGUCAAAUUAUGGUUUCACUGUGGGAAAUUUAUUUGAAGGUCUCCAUGAUGGCAUAACUCUAUGUAGACUGACGUGUCGAUUAUUUUGGCAUGCAUUUUUGGCACAUCAUUAUCCAGAUACUUUUUCCAUUACUAUGACAUCAAACUUUAUUUCAUAAGUUGUGUACUAUUAGAUUGCACCUUUUGUUUAUAUCAAGAUCUGAAGUAAUUGACUUUAUGUUCAGUUUUGUUUUUUCACUCACUUCAUAGGAAGCAUUACAAUGGGAUAUAUUGUUCAGGAGUAGAGAUACUUUGAGCCCACCGUCACCAAUAUUCACCUCGUCUGCCCAAGUCCACCUUUCGCCAUGAAGGGCCACUCCUCUACGGUAGCAGGGAUGACCAGGACGCGGUGACGCCCAUGGACUGACACUUGUCACACUCCACAAACGAUCCUACCUACAGAGCGGUGGCGCGGGUGGGCACCGGCAAUGAAGAGGGCAUGCUGCAUAUCGACGCUCUUCUUUUGACUACAUGUUCAACCUCGGCCGACAGUGUCAUAAACCGCGUCUUCAACCUCCGUCGUGACCCUUCCUCUCAGACGACAAGCUUGCCACCUUCUCGCUGCUAGACAAAAGUUCACCAGAGAAAAAUGAUCCCAUCACCGGGAUCAACACCGCAGGGUCGUUGACUUGGUUGAUCUCUUCGAUGUAACUGAAAUUGGUGGGUCCAUGUGGUUGGAGAGCACGUUUCUCUGGGAUCUUGAUGCUAUCGUGCUCAUUGUACACGCUCGCGUGAGGGUGCUUGACUCCUUGGAGCAGGCCGGCAACCACCGCCUGUUGGACAAAUUUCAGAAACUUUGUACGAAGCUGGUGCACAUAGGUUCUGGGUUUGUACGAAGCUGGUGCACAUAGCCUUUGUUCAGGUAAAUCAGACAGGCAUGCGGACUAUAGGUAGCCUCUCUUUUUGCCCAUCUUUGCUAUUGUUAAUAAGUCUAACAAUGAACUGACUACAUUUACAUCUUUUCACCUUUGUUACCACAAAGCUACUCAAAGGUUCAGAAAUAAUACGUCGGCACUUUAAGUUUCCCAUUUCGAAUGCCAUGAUUUGCAAUUUGUGAUUUGGGAUGCGGUAGUAAGCUCUUUCUCGUGCAGUUAUGUUGUUGUGAGGUGCUACAGUCUCCUCUGAUUGUUCAAGCAAAGGUUCUCGAAAACAGCAUAGCCAUGUAUGUUGCUUCUAUUAGGUGAGGAUGACAAAGACUGCAUGUGUGCGCACGUGGGGGUUUGUGGAUUCGGGCACGCUAAACUCCCUUACAAUCCAGACAAAUCAUACAUUCAAACCAUCUCGAUGUUCUUCGCUAGCUUCGUCGCGUCGAUCCUGUAUAUAUACUAUUGGAUCCUGAAGCCCCAAGUCAUCAUCUGUUCCCGUGAUUCAUUAGCAAAUACAGAAAAACAUGGUUGUUUAUAUUAUAUGUAUGUUGUUGGGUAGGAGUUUUUCUCACUAGAUGUGAACAUUAGGAAGGAUAUAUCUUGUAGCAGAUCAGAUUCAAGAUCAUGUCAUGAUUUCUUAAGGGCC